RNAcentral lists this ribosomal RNA (489 nucleotides) under uncultured bacterium. Its description in RNAcentral is "partial 16S ribosomal RNA". It matches the Rfam family "Bacterial small subunit ribosomal RNA", at positions 30 to 506 of the family's 1533-position model. The record is from RNAcentral.
AUUGAACGCUGGCGGCAGGCCUAACACAUGCAAGUCGAACGGUAACAGGGAUCAGCUUGCUGAUUCGCUGACGAGUGGCGGACGGGUGAGGAAUGUCUGGGAAACUGCCUGAUGGAGGGGGAUAACUACUGGAAACGGUAGCUAAUACCGCAUAACGUCGCAAGACCAAAGAGGGGGACCUUCGGGCCUCUUGCCAUCGGAUGUGCCCAGAUGGGAUUAGCUAGUAGGUGGGGUAACGGCUCACCUAGGCGACGAUCCCUAGCUGGUCUGAGAGGAUGACCAGCCACACUGGAACUGAGACACGGUCCAGACUCCUACGGGAGGCAGCAGUGGGGAAUAUUGCACAAUGGGCGCAAGCCUGAUGCAGCCAUGCCGCGUGUAUGAAGAAGGCCUUCGGGUUGUAAAGUACUUUCAGCGGGGAGGAAGGGAGUAAAGUUAAUACCUUUGCUCAUUGACGUUACCCGCAGAAGAAGCACCGGCUAACUCCGU